RNAcentral lists this ribosomal RNA (546 nucleotides) under Ossoides lineatus. RNAcentral describes it as "partial 16S ribosomal RNA". It matches the Rfam family "Bacterial large subunit ribosomal RNA", at positions 1797 to 2619 of the family's 2925-position model. The record is from RNAcentral. Lineage: Eukaryota; Metazoa; Arthropoda; Insecta; Hemiptera; Tropiduchidae.
CGCCUGUUUAUCAAAAACAUGUCUUCUUGAUUUUAUUUGAAGUCUGGCCUGCUCAAUGAUUAAUUAAAUAGCCGCGGUAAUUUAACUGUGCAAAGGUAGCAUAAUAAUUAGUCUUUUAAUUGAGGUCUAGAAUGAAUGGUUGGACGAAAAAAAUGCUUUAUUUGAUUUAUUUAUUUAAUUUAACUUCAUUGUUAAAAUGCAAUGAUUUUUUAAAGUGACGAUAAGACCCUAUAGAUCUUUAUUUUUUUUAUAUUUUUUUUUUUUUUGUUGAUUUUAUAUAAUUUUAGUUUAAAAAAUUUUGUUGGGGUGAUAAUUAAAAAUUUUAUCUUUAAUUUUUUUUUACAUUUAUUUAUGUUUAGUUUGAACCUUAAUUUUUGUUUAAAAGAAUAAGAUACCUUAGGGAUAACAGCGUAAUUUAUUUGGAUAGUUCAUAUUGAUAAAUAUAUUUGCGACCUCGAUGUUGGAUUAAUAUUUUUUUGUGGGGAAGGUUUCUCAAUAAUAGGUCUGUUCGACUUUAAAAUUUUACAUGAUCUGAGUUCAGACCGG